UAGCUCCUUCAAUAGGUGCUGCUUAACACCGUGGGAGUUGAGAAAGGCGCAAGGGAAUUUGCAGGGAGGGUGACACCACCCCCUCUCAGGGAAACAGAAGGACCUCGGCUCCAGUUUGCUUUGCUUAUGGCAUUCGAAUCAAGAAACACCACAAUGACGGUUAUAUCGUCGUGGAAAUGACGCCUCACGCCACGAUCAAUUUUCUUGAGGUCUGAGUAUCUCAUCUCCCUCUUCUUGGCUGCUUCUUGCAUUGCGACUUUAACUAGUCUUCGAGCAAUCCCCUGG
RNAcentral lists this small RNA (285 nucleotides) under Oryza sativa Japonica Group (Japanese rice). RNAcentral describes it as "sRNA Os03g0137250". The record is from RNAcentral. Lineage: Eukaryota; Viridiplantae; Streptophyta; Magnoliopsida; Poales; Poaceae.